Molecule: ribosomal RNA, 445 nt
Filed under: uncultured bacterium
Lineage: Bacteria
Description: partial 16S ribosomal RNA
Rfam family: Bacterial small subunit ribosomal RNA
Source: RNAcentral
GUGAGGAAUAUUGGUCAAUGGACGAGAGUCUGAACCAGCCAAGUCGCGUGAAGGAAGACGGUUCUAUGAAUUGUAAACUUCUUUUGUGCAGGAAUAAAGUGGGUUACGUGUAACCUUUUGUAUGUACUGUACGAAUAAGGAUCGGCUAACUCCGUGCCAGCAGCCGCGGUAAUACGGAGGAUCCGAGCGUUAUCCGGAUUUAUUGGGUUUAAAGGGUGCGUAGGGGGAUUGAUAAGUCAGCGGUGAAAGUUUGCAGCUUAACUGUAAAAUUGCCGUUGAAACUGUCGGUCUUGAGUGCAAAUGAGGUAGGCGGAAUGUGUUGUGUAGCGGUGAAAUGCUUAGAUAUCACACAGAACACCGAUUGCGUAGGCAGCUUACUGGAGCGCAACUGACGCUGAGGCACGAAAGCGUGGGGAUCGAACAGGAUUAGAAACCCGGGUAGUCC